GCGGGGUAACGGCCCACCAAGCGACGAUCAGUAGGGGUUCUGAGAGGAAGGUCCCCCACAUUGGAACUGAGACACGGUCCAAACUCCUACGGGAGGCAGCAGUGAGGAAUAUUGGUCAAUGGGCGAGAGCCUGAACCAGCCAAGUAGCGUGCAGGAUGACGGCCCUAUGGGUUGUAAACUGCUUUUAUAAGGGAAUAAAGUGAGCCUCGUGAGGCUUUUUGCAUGUACCUUAUGAAUAAGGACCGGCUAAUUCCGUGCCAGCAGCCGCGGUAAUACGGAAGGUCCGGGCGUUAUCCGGAUUUAUUGGGUUUAAAGGGAGCGUAGGCCGGAGAUUAAGCGUGUUGUGAAAUGUAGAUGCUCAACAUCUGCACUGCAGCGCGAACUGGUUUCCUUGAGUACGCACAAAGUGGGCGGAAUUCGUGGUGUAGCGGUGAAAUGCUUAGAUAUCACGAAGAACUCCGAUUGCGAAGGCAGCUCACUGGAGCGCAACUGACGCUGAAGCUCGAAAGUGCGGGUAUCGAACAGGAUUAGAUACCCUGGUAGUCCGCACGGUAAACGAUGGAUGCCCGCUGUUGGUCUGAAUAGGUCAGCGGCCAAGCGAAAGCAUUAAGCAUCCCACCUGGGGAGUA
Molecule: ribosomal RNA, 629 nt
Filed under: uncultured bacterium
Lineage: Bacteria
Description: bacterial SSU rRNA
Rfam family: Bacterial small subunit ribosomal RNA
Source: RNAcentral